This 422-nucleotide ribosomal RNA is filed under the name uncultured bacterium. RNAcentral's name for it is "bacterial SSU rRNA". It matches the Rfam family "Bacterial small subunit ribosomal RNA", at positions 355 to 774 of the family's 1533-position model. The record is from RNAcentral.
UAAGGAAUAUUGGUCAAUGGAGGCAACUCUGAACCAGCCAUGCCGCGUGAAGGAUUAAGGCCCUCUGGGUUGUAAACUUCUUUUAUAUGGGAAGAAAUGUACUUUUUCUAAAGUGCUUGACGGUACCAUAGGAAUAAGCACCGGCUAACUCCGUGCCAGCAGCCGCGGUAAUACGGAGGGUGCAAGCGUUAUACGGAUUUACUGGGUUUAAAGGGUGCGUAGGCGGAUGAAUAAGUCAGUGGUGAAAUCUCCGAGCUUAACUCGGAAACUGCCAUUGAUACUAUUUGGCUUGAAUAUUGUGGAGGAAAGCAGAAUAUGUCAUGUAGCGGUGAAAUGCUUAGAUAUGACAUAGAACACCAAUUGCGAAGGCAGCUUGCUACACAAUCAUUGACGCUGAGGCACGAAAGCGUGGGGAUCAAACA